This 621-nucleotide ribosomal RNA is filed under the name uncultured bacterium. Its description in RNAcentral is "bacterial SSU rRNA". The stretch from base 1 to 540 matches the Rfam family "Bacterial small subunit ribosomal RNA", at positions 338 to 873 of the family's 1533-position model. The record is from RNAcentral.
CCUACGGGAGGCAGCAGUGGGGAAUUUUGGACAAUGGGGGCAGCCCUGAUCCAGCAAUGCCGCGUGAGUGAAGAAGGCCUUCGGGUUGUAAAGCUCUUUUGUCAGGGAAGAAACGGGUGGGGCUAAUAUCCUCAUCUAAUGACGGUACCUGAAGAAUAAGCACCGGCUAACUACGUGCCAGCAGCCGCGGUAAUACGUAGGGUGCAAGCGUUAAUCGGAAUUACUGGGCGUAAAGCGUGCGCAGGCGGUUAUGUAAGUCAGAUGUGAAAUCCCCGGGCUCAACCUGGGAACUGCAUUUGAGACUGCAUGGCUAGAGUGUGUCAGAGGGGGGUAGAAUUCCACGUGUAGCAGUGAAAUGCGUAGAUAUGUGGAGGAAUACCGAUGGCGAAGGCAGCCCCCUGGGAUAACACUGACGCUCAUGCACGAAAGCGUGGGGAGCAAACAGGAUUAGAUACCCUGGUAGUCCACGCCCUAAACGAUGUCUACUAGUUGUCGGGACUUAAUUGUCUUGGUAACGCAGCUACGCGUGAGUAGACCGCCGNGGGAGGUACGGUCGCGAGAGUAAACGUACGAAGAAGUAGAGACGUAGAGACGAGCCGAGGACGACGACGAGGGAGGAGG